Molecule: ribosomal RNA, 746 nt
Filed under: Stenotrophomonas maltophilia
Lineage: Bacteria; Pseudomonadati; Pseudomonadota; Gammaproteobacteria; Lysobacterales; Lysobacteraceae
Description: bacterial SSU rRNA
Rfam family: Bacterial small subunit ribosomal RNA
Source: RNAcentral
GCUACCAUGCAGUCGAACGGCAGCACAGGAGAGCUUGCUCUCUGGGUGGCGAGUGGCGGACGGGUGAGGAAUACAUCGGAAUCUACUCUGUCGUGGGGGAUAACGUAGGGAAACUUACGCUAAUACCGCAUACGACCUACGGGUGAAAGCAGGGGACCUUCGGGCCUUGCGCGAUUGAAUGAGCCGAUGUCGGAUUAGCUAGUUGGCGGGGUAAAGGCCCACCAAGGCGACGAUCCGUAGCUGGUCUGAGAGGAUGAUCAGCCACACUGGAACUGAGACACGGUCCAGACUCCUACGGGAGGCAGCAGUGGGGAAUAUUGGACAAUGGGCGCAAGCCUGAUCCAGCCAUACCGCGUGGGUGAAGAAGGCCUUCGGGUUGUAAAGCCCUUUUGUUGGGAAAGAAAUCCAGCUGGCUAAUACCCGGUUGGGAUGACGGUACCCAAAGAAUAAGCACCGGCUAACUUCGUGCCAGCAGCCGCGGUAAUACGAAGGGUGCAAGCGUUACUCGGAAUUACUGGGCGUAAAGCGUGCGUAGGUGGUCGUUUAAGUCCGUUGUGAAAGCCCUGGGCUCAACCUGGGAACUGCAGUGGAUACUGGGCGACUAGAAUGUGGUAGAGGGUAGCGGAAUUCCUGGUGUAGCAGUGAAAUGCGUAGAGAUCAGGAGGAACAUCCAUGGCGAAGGCAGCUACCUGGACCAACAUUGACACUGAGGCACGAAAGCGUGGGGAGCAAACAGGAUUAGUCCC